This is a long non-coding RNA of Oreochromis aureus, 609 nucleotides long. NCBI's taxonomy places the organism in Eukaryota, Metazoa, Chordata, Actinopteri, Cichliformes, Cichlidae. The record is from Ensembl.
GUUUUUCUCAAAGGCUUUGCAUUUGAAGAGGUACAAACAGCAGCUAGGGUGGAACAUUUUCACCUGACACAUACCUGACAGCAACUUUUCUCACUGGCAGAGCUGUUGGCGGACACGCCUGUGCAUCAAAGCUCCCGAUCGGCAAAGGCCGGAGAGAGAAGGGCGCCGGAGAAGCAUGCGGGACUGCGGUCCACUAAACCCGGCGAGAAACGGAAAGAACUUUAGAAAUGGCCCUCCAGGAAUCUGCUGACGCGUGAGUCAUUAAGUCUCUGGUAGAGAUGCUUUGGAAGUGUCAGUGUUAGCCUGUUAAUGAGGCACGAGUCGGUGUGAAGGACUUUUGGAGGCUGGAGCUGGUGCUGCUGUGGAACCAAAGAAAACCUGCAGCUGUUCAACAUCAGCCAGUUGUUAAUCACAGGGGCAGGAGUGGAACCAGACUCCUGAGGCGCGGCCGUGACGCUGACUCAGAGUGAUGUUAAAGAUGAGUGAAUACACCCCAACCCAGCACCAGAGCCUGAACAGGGUCUAAAAUGAUGUCAUCCUACCCUGUGCAGCUACAGGUUUGAGUGUUUGUAGGAAUUUUCUUUCAGAAGUGAGCUGGUAAGGUCAGAC